Molecule: ribosomal RNA, 2688 nt
Filed under: Triticum aestivum (bread wheat)
Lineage: Eukaryota; Viridiplantae; Streptophyta; Magnoliopsida; Poales; Poaceae
Description: partial small subunit ribosomal RNA
Source: RNAcentral
AUGGUCGGCCUGCUGAGCACGCCGGUGCCGUCCCCGUCCACCUCCGUCUCCCUCGGCCUCGGCUCCCCCGCCGCCGACGACGGCGGCUCCCUCAAGUCCCCCGCCGUCGAGGCGCCCCGCCGCAGCCUGCGCCUGGCCGGCGCCGCCAGCCCGGGCACACCCCCGGCGGCCUCUUCCGACCGGGACGGCGCUUCGUCGGGCGCUCGCGGAAGGAGGAAGGGGAGGCCUCGUGCUUCCGCCGUUGCUGCGGCUGCUUCCCCGGAGGUCGGGGAGCUGGGGAGCGAUGGCGGCGGCGGCGGCGAGGCUAGGGCCUCGGGCGGCACCGGCGGCGGCUCCAGUGGUCAGGGGGCGCGCAUGAGCUUGCGGUCAGGGUCUCGGCUCGGGAAGCGGCCGGUGGAGCCAGAUGCCCACGCAGAGAUGGGGCUUGGACCGGAUGGAGGGGGGUCCGGGUCUGGACACAACGUGCACGACGAAAUGCUGCAGCAGGACGCCGACGGGAUGGCGAAGCGGCGUAAGGGCGUAUCGGCUCAGCUGGCCGACUACGUGGCUGAUUCAGAGAGCGACAGUGAUGAUGACUUUGUGCUACCGGUGAAAGGGAGCGCAAGCACGUUGGCUGGAGCGGCGGCCGAUUACGUGCCUGAUUCGGAGAGCGACAGGGAGGAUUUUGUGCUGCCGGGGGAUCGUGGCUUGAAGGUACCGGCAAACUUGUUCACUCCUUUUAAUCUGACUGAACCGAUUGUGGUGGCUACGGGUUCGCAUAUGACAGGCCAGGGGAGUGGUGGUUCUGUGAGGGCUCGUAGAGGGGGAAUUGGACAGGUUAAUGACAGGAAUGAACAGCUCUUCAGUGAGGAGUCUAUGCUCAUGCAUGAUUCGGCAGAGAAGGCAGCUGGUGGCAUUGUUAAGCCGUUAGCAUCUGCCGCAGACAAAGCCUUUGCGGAUGUGGAUUUCAGUGAGGUUCUCAGGCAUGAGUCUAGAAAUAGAGGCGAAGGAAACUCAAAGCUGGUUCUUGGGAACAAUGAUUCAGGUUCUGCUGUCAGUGUUGGUAUUCCAUCUGGUACCAGGACCAGGAAGUUCAGUCGUGAUGAUAAAGGAAAGGGGAAGAUGGUUGCGGAAGAGGUUUUAUUGCCCCAGAAGUUAAGUGAUGAUGACAUGGAUUGGGAACCUGUGGUUUUACAAGAGAAUCAGAGCGUCUCAGGAGCAGCUGAUGCUGAUGUGGAGCCACUUUGGAGGCAAGCGGCAAGAGAGAGAGCUAUUAAGCUGGCCCCAAAAUUUGCAUUCUUCAAAGCAGAUGAAGAUGUACAUAGUGACGAAGAUGAUGAGGAAGAGUUAGAGCCUGCGGCUGAUGCUCAGGAUUGGCCAGGUCCAUAUUCUACUGCAUUGAGGAUCAUGGAUGAUAGAGAUGCUAAAUUGAGAGCCCGGGAGUUGAAUCCGUCGUCUAAACUAGCUAAUGAUGCUGAUAAUGUCAUUUUGUGGACACCUUUGAAAAACAAGAAAGCUCCGCUGCGCCCCGUCCCGUCACUUGCGAGCUUAUGCAUGCAAACUCUUGCAAGCCAUGCUGAAGGUAUUGAAUCACUUGGAGGCAUACCUGAGGAGUUAAAACAUAAACUUCUCACGGAACUGUGCCGUUCUAGGAAGAUGAAUACCCAUCUUCUUACUGAAAUCUUGUGUGAUAAUCCUGUGGCACUGCAGCUUAGGGAGUGUUCGUGGUUGAAUGAGGAUGACUUUGAGGCUGUUUUUGGGAAAUGCAUGACUGAAUCCUUAGAGGUUCUGCAGCUUGACUUAUCUGGGCGAUGCAUACCUGACUAUAUUUUGCCUGCUACCUUGGCAAAGGUUCCUAAUUGCAUGCCAUUAUUAAGAAAAAUAUCUCUGAUGGGAAAUUACCGUCUUUCUGAUAAUGGGUUAGACAAACUCAUCUCAGCAGCACCUUCUCUGAGUUCGCUCAAUUUAAGCGAGUGCUCUCUUCUCACAUCAACUGGAAUUGAGAAUCUUGCUAAUAGGCUGCAAUCUGUAUUGAGAGAACUAUAUAUUAAUGACUGCCUAAAUGUGGAUGCCAUGAUGGUUCUUCCUGCUCUAAAGAAAAUUAAACAUUUGGAGGUUUUAUCAAUGUCUGGCAUACAGUCUGUCUGUGACAAGUUUGUGAAUGAGCUCAUUCCUAUACAUGGCUCUAAUAUAAGGGAGUUAGCGUUUGCUGGUUGCCUGAAACUGACCUCAUCUUCCAUUAAGACUAUUGGGGUGAACUGCCCCCAGUUAUCAUCUUUAGAUAUACGAAACUUGAAUAGGUUGCGUGACUCAGCAACAAGACAUCUUCGUGAUGGCUGUCGGCUUAUAAAGAAAUUAAAGCUUCAAAAGAAUACGUUCAGUGAUGUAGCACUGUCUCAGUUUUUGGAAGAAUCUGGAGGAUCUUUAACUGAGUUGAGCCUAAACAACAUUGAGAAGGUUGGAAACCUUACUGCACGGGCGAUUGCUCUCAAGUGCUCUGUACGCUUGGAGGUUCUGGAUGUUUCCUUCUGCCGUGGUCUGUCCAAUGAAGCUUUGGGGCUGAUUGUUGACAGUUGCUCAUCGUUGAAAACUCUCAAGCUAUUUGGGUGUACCCAGAUCACGGAUAUUUUCCUCAAGGGCCACUCGAACUCAUUGGUGAAAAUUAUUGGGAUAGAAGGGAGCAUACUGGAGCAAUUGGGUCGUUGUUAG